Molecule: long non-coding RNA, 2251 nt
Organism: Chinchilla lanigera (long-tailed chinchilla)
Lineage: Eukaryota; Metazoa; Chordata; Mammalia; Rodentia; Chinchillidae
Source: Ensembl
UAAUUUUUGAACAUAUAUAGUCCUGUCUAUGUCCUCAGAGUGUGCAAACCUAUUUUCUUUCCAUAAGACAUUUUAGGUUUCAGUGAAACCUACUAUUUAAUCAUGUGUGUUUUUCCCCAUGUAAGUAUGUGUAUGUGGCGUUCUCCUGGGUUGGGGAGUCCCUGUAGUUUGCUAUCAGGAAGAAGGGUGAAGGAGCAGACCAGCACCUUGGGACUGAGGUAGCAUUCAGAACCACCUCUUAGUUCUCAUGCUCCUAAAGCUUCAAUAACGCCUGGCUUCCUAAGCUGAAAGUCAGUCACGCUCGCUCCCUCAAGCCCCCUUAUUGACAGCGCACACGCUGCCGGCUGCCCACUUCCAACUCACACCCCCAGCUCUGUGAAAUCCCUGAGUCUAUAGGAGACAGGGCCCUUGGUCCUUGCACCAGUGGUCCCUCUCAGGUUUGUCCUGACUGUGGAACUCGCCUGUUUGUGCCUCCUUUUCCUAACAGGUGGCAGGACCUGGGCCGUGAUUCCCACAUGCAUGGGACUCCUUGACACAGGAAUUUCUUUUAUUCUUGUCUUUUUGGAACACAAAAAUAGCAUCAUCAUUUUGAAUACUGAUCUCAAGGGUCCCAGAAAGGAUCAGAAUGCCUGGAAACUGCACUGACUCUCAACUCCCGGUGUGGCCAAGAGACCUAGGAGGCGCUGUCGGCAAAGUGACCUAGGAGGCGCUGUCGGCAAAGUGACCUAGGAGGCGCUGUCGGCAAAGUGUUUCGUGCAGAGAGUGCAAGUGGAGCGGCUCCCCACGGUGGCGCAGGCACAUCUGCUGGGCCAGUGGUUUACCUGAGGCCCUGACAGCUUGCUGAGACCCUCAUGCUCCCAUAUUACAUCUUCCCACACACAUGCAUCAGCUAUUUGAAAAAGCAAUCCCCUCAAACAACUGACAGACUCAUCAGAUCUGGAGCUCAGCACGUACACUCUUCUCUUCUAGAAGCUCCAAAGUACUAAUACAUUGAAGUCUGGCAGCAUUCAAACGAAGAAGGCCAAUGUAAAUGGGUUAUGUCGGAAACUUCCUCUCCUGCAGUUCCUUCCCCCUGAGUCAAGACACUGGUAAUUUCAAAAGGGAAGAAUUCCAGUGAAAGCUUGUGAAUAAUCUUUUAAGGUUCUUCCUCCUCGAAGGAGCCCAGAUUACUUUCCACCACUUUCCAGUUGAAGUAGGCCCUAACCAGUUAAGCUGCUCAUAAUCAAUAUAUUUUAUUUUACCUAUGUGGGAAUUUAUAGCCUGCGAACUUCUAAAAUAAUUUAAGCGCCUUUAAUGUUUCAAAGUAAAAUGAAGAAAUAAUGGCUAAAAAUAGAACCUUAUAAAGUGAGUCAGGGAGUAGAUAUUACAAGGCACCUGAGACGACCUAAUUCUUGUAGUUAGUCAGUAGACUAACCCCUGACUUUAUUUGUGGUUAGACCAAAAGGGAGCACGUGUUGCUUAUAUAGCUUUCAAUGUCAAGUCAAAGUAGAAACAAAGAGCAGCAUGCAAAAUUAUUUGUAGAACUAAACCAUGGCUUAAAAGACACCAUUCACAUACAGUCGUUCUGGUGACAACCUCAAGAGAAGGCAGUGCACACAAUGUUUACUGGCUGGACCCUCCCCAGGCCAGAACUAUGCUGACCUUCACUUUGUACACCUUGGGUGCACUGCUUCCUUUACCCGGAAGGGACCCUGCAGCAGUCUGUUCAUUUUUAUCCAGUUGACCCUACUGACCAUUCCACCAGGGAGGCUUUCAUCUCCCACCCAGACCAGGACAGGGCCCCCAGUCAUGGGCUUUUAGGACAACUUGUGCCUUUCUUGUAGAUCCCCAUUUACUUUCCCAUUGGUGUCAUUACUCAGGGUGUGUCUCUCUCACUAGACAGAAGUUCCUUCAGGACAAGAACUGGAUGUGCUUUGUUUAUUCCUGUUAUCACUAACAUCUUGCACCAUGUCUGACUCAUGUAACAAUAAUAAUAAUGGAUAAAAAGAGGUGGCAUUUUUAUACAAUGGAGUACUGCUAAGUUAUAAAGAAAGAUAAACUCAAGGAUUUUAUAGGAAAUGGAUGCAACUAGAGACCAUACUCAUAAGUGAAAUAAAUCAGACUCUCAUAUGUAAACAUUGUAUUGUCUCCCUAGUGUAAGAAACUGAAAGGGUAAAUAAAAUCCAAAAGGUACAAUAGAUAUUGUGAAAGGGAAAGAAAUUGCUCAAAGAGGAAGAACAAGUAGGAUAGGGGAAAAUAUAUAAAAAGGAAG